AUUGAACGCUGGCGGCAGGCCUAACACAUGCAAGUCGAGCGGAUGAAGGGAGCUUGCUCCUGGAUUCAGCGGCGGACGGGUGAGUAAUGCCUAGGAAUCUGCCCGGUAGUGGGGGAUAACGUCCGGAAACGGGCGCUAAUACCGCAUACGUCCUGAGGGAGAAAGUGGGGGAUCUUCGGACCUCACGCUAUCAGAUGAGUCUAGGUCGGAUUAGCUAGUUGGUGGGGUAAAGGCCUACCAAGGCGACGAUCCGUAACUGGUCUGAGAGGAUGAUCAGUCACACUGGAACUGAGACACGGUCCAGACUCCUACGGGAGGCAGCAGUGGGGAAUAUUGGACAAUGGGCGAAAGCCUGAUCCAGCCAUGCCGCGUGUGUGAAGAAGGUCUUCGGAUUGUAAAGCACUUUAAGUUGGGAGGAAGGGCAGUAAGUUAAUACCUUGCUGUUUUGACGUUACCAACAGAAUAAGCACCGGCUAACUUCGUG
This 484-nucleotide ribosomal RNA is filed under the name uncultured bacterium. RNAcentral describes it as "partial 16S ribosomal RNA". It matches the Rfam family "Bacterial small subunit ribosomal RNA", at positions 30 to 507 of the family's 1533-position model. The record is from RNAcentral.